GGUCCGAUGCCACGUCUGCGGUAGCGAAAUUAGGGCACUGACCGGGGAUGCUAUGAUCUGGCCUAUAAAAAAAUUUAUUGUUUCGCAUUCUGAUAGAAAACUGUGGGUGAUCUUAUUAAAUCCAUUCACCUACAGAGCCGAUUUUUGCGAUUACAGUU
Molecule: small nucleolar RNA, 158 nt
Filed under: Macleaya cordata
Lineage: Eukaryota; Viridiplantae; Streptophyta; Magnoliopsida; Ranunculales; Papaveraceae
Description: Small nucleolar RNA snoR2/U65
Rfam family: Small nucleolar RNA snoR2/U65
Source: Rfam by way of RNAcentral